RNAcentral lists this ribosomal RNA (525 nucleotides) under uncultured Herbaspirillum sp. RNAcentral's name for it is "bacterial SSU rRNA". It matches the Rfam family "Bacterial small subunit ribosomal RNA", at positions 8 to 526 of the family's 1533-position model. The record is from RNAcentral. Lineage: Bacteria; Pseudomonadati; Pseudomonadota; Betaproteobacteria; Burkholderiales; Oxalobacteraceae.
AGAGUUUGAUCCUGGCUCAGAUUGAACGCUGGCGGCAUGCCUUACACAUGCAAGUCGAACGGCAGCACGGGGGCAACCCUGGUGGCGAGUGGCGAACGGGUGAGUAACAUAUCGGAACGUGCCCUGGAGUGGGGGAUAACUAGUCGAAAGACUGGCUAAUACCGCAUACGAUCUACGGAUGAAAGUGGGGGAUUCGCAAGGACCUCAUGCUCGUGGAGCGGCCGAUAUCUGAUUAGCUAGUUGGUGGGGUAAAGGCCUACCAAGGCGACGAUCAGUAGCUGGUCUGAGAGGACGACCAGCCACACUGGGACUGAGACACGGCCCAGACUCCUACGGGAGGCAGCAGUGGGGAAUUUUGGACAAUGGGGGCAACCCUGAUCCAGCAAUGCCGCGUGAGUGAAGAAGGCCUUCGGGUUGUAAAGCUCUUUUGUCAGGGAAGAAACGGUCUGGGCUAAUAUCCCGGGCUAAUGACGGUACCUGAAGAAUAAGCACCGGCUAACUACGUGCCAGCAGCCGCGUUAAUAC